This 877-nucleotide ribosomal RNA is filed under the name uncultured eukaryote. Its description in RNAcentral is "SSU rRNA". It matches the Rfam family "Eukaryotic small subunit ribosomal RNA", at positions 636 to 1469 of the family's 1831-position model. The record is from RNAcentral.
CGGUGUUCAACUGGCGUGUCCGCGGGACGUCCUGCCGGUGGGCUUAGCCCGCAAGGGCGGCCCAACUUCAAAUCCCAUCGCGGUGCUCUUCACUGAGUGUCGAGGUGGGCCGGCACGUUUACUUUGAACAAAUUAGAGUGCUUAAAGCAGGCUAAAACUUCGCCUGAAUACUGUGUGCAUGGAAUAAUGGAAUAGGACCUCGGUUCUAUUUUGUUGGUUUUCGGAACCCCGAGGUAAUGAUUAAUAGGAACGGAUGGGGGCAUUCGUAUUGCGACGUUAGAGGUGAAAUUCUUGGAUCGUCGCAAGACGGACAGAAGCGAAAGCAUUUGCCAAAAACGCUUUCAUUGAUCAAGAACGAAAGUUAGAGGUUCGAAGGCGAUCAGAUACCGCCCUAGUUCUAACCAUAAACGAUGCCAGCUAGCGAUCCGUCGACGUUCCUCCGAUGACUCGACGGGCAGCUUCCGGGAAACCAAAGCUUUUGGGUUCCGGGGGAAGUAUGGUUGCAAAGCUGAAACUUAAAGGAAUUGACGGAAGGGCACCACCAGGAGUGGAGCCUGCGGCUUAAUUUGACUCAACACGGGAAACCUCACCAGGCCCGGACACCGGAAGGAUUGACAGAUUGAGAGCUCUUUCUUGAUUCGGUGGGUGGUGGUGCAUGGCCGUUCUUAGUUGGUGGAGCGAUUUGUCUGGUUAAUUCCGAUAACGAACGAGACUCUAGCCUGCUAACUAGGCGUAUUUUCGACAUCUCAAAGGUCCGUCGUCCCGGCCCUCGGGUCGUGGGCGUGCGCGAUUUUUACUGCCGGCGUACUAUCAAUUCUUCUUAGAGGGACAGGUGGCUUCUAGCCGCACGAGAUUGAGCAAUAACAGGUCUGUGAUG